GUGAGUAACCUGCCCUUGACUCUGGGAUAAGCCUGGGAAACUGGGUCUAAUACCGGAUAUGACUCCUCAUCGCAUGGUGGGGGGUGGAAAGCUUUUGUGGUUUUGGAUGGACUCCCGGCCUAUCAGCUUGUUGGUGGGGUAAUGGCCUACCAAGGCGACGACGGGUAGCCGGCCUGAGAGGGUGACCGGCCACACUGGGACUGAGACACGGCCCACACUCCUACGGGAGGCAGCAGUGGGGAAUAUUGCACAAUGGGCGCAAGCCUGAUGCAGCGACGCCGCGUGAGGGAUGACGGCCUUCUGGUUGUAAACUUCUUUCAGUAGGGAAGAAGCGUAAGUGACGGUACCUGCAAAAGAAGCGCCGGCUAACUACGUGCCAGCAGCCGCGGUAAUACGUAGGGCGCAAGCGUUAUCCGGAAUUAUUGGGCGUAAAGAGCUCGUAUGCGGUUUGUCGCGUCUGCUGUGAAAGACCGGGGCUCAACUCCGGUUCUGCAGUGGGUACGGGCAGACUAGAGUGCAGUAGGGGAGACUGGAAUUCCUGGUGUAGCGGUGAAAUGCGCAGAUAUCAGGAGGAACACCGAUGGCGAAGGCAGGUCUCUGGGCUGUAACUGACGCUGAGGAGCGAAAGCAUGGGGAGCGAACAGGAUUAGAUACCCUGGUAGUCCAUGCCGUAAACGUUGGGCACUAGGUGUGGGGGACAUUCCACGUUUUCCGCGCCGUAGCUAACGCAUUAAGUGCCCCGCCUGGGGAGUACGGCCGCAAGGCUAAAACUCAAAGGAAUUGACGGGGGCCCGCACAAGCGGCGGAGCAUGCGGAUUAAUUCGAUGCAACGCGAAGAACCUUACCAAGGCUUGACAUGAACCGGAAAGACCUGGAAACAGGUGCCCCGCUUGCGGUCGGUUUACAGGUGGUGCAUGGUUGUCGUCAGCUCGUGUCGUGAGAUGUUGGGUUAAGUCCCGCAACGAGCGCAACCCUCGUUCUAUGUUGCCAGCGGUUCGGCCGGGGACUCAUAGGAGACUGCCGGGGUCAACUCGGAGGAAGGUGGGGACGACGUCAAAUCAUCAUGCCCCUUAUGUCUUGGGCUUCACGCAUGCUACAAUGGCCGGUACAAAGGGUUGCGAUACUGUGAGGUGGAGCUAAUCCCAAAAAGCCGGUCUCAGUUCGGAUUGGGGUCUGCAACUCGACCCCAUGAAGUCGGAGUCGCUAGUAAUCGCAGAUCAGCAACGCUGCGGUGAAUACGUUCCCGGGCCUUGUACACACCGCCCGUCAAGUCACGAAAGUUGGUAACACCCGAAGCCGGUGGCCUAACCCUGUG
RNAcentral lists this ribosomal RNA (1315 nucleotides) under Arthrobacter sp. 58. RNAcentral describes it as "bacterial SSU rRNA". It matches the Rfam family "Bacterial small subunit ribosomal RNA", at positions 117 to 1445 of the family's 1533-position model. Lineage: Bacteria; Bacillati; Actinomycetota; Actinomycetes; Micrococcales; Micrococcaceae. The record is from RNAcentral.